GAUUAACGCUGGCGGCGUGCUUAACACAUGCAAGUCGAACGAUGAAACCUAGUCGACUUCUUCGGAAAGACACUAAGCGGAUUAGUGGCGAACGGGUGAGUAACGCUUGAGUAACCUGCCUUACACAAGGGGAUAGCCUUUGGAAACGAAGAAUAAUACCCUAUAAUACCAUAAAAGCACAUGCUAGAAUGGUCAAAGUGAUAGCGGUGUAAGAUGGACUUGCGUCUGAUUAGCUAGUUGGUGAGAUAAAAGCUCACCAAGGCAACGAUCAGUAGCCGGCGUGAGAGAGUGUACGGCCACAUUGGGACUGAGACACGACCCAGACUCCUACGGGAGGCAGCAGUGGGGAAUUCUGCACAAUGGGGGAAACCCUGAUGCAGCGACGCCGCGUGAUUUAGAAGGCCUUCGGGUUGUAAAAAUCUUUUGUAUAGGAAGAAAAUGACAGUACUAUACGAAUAAGGUCCGGCUAAUUACGUG
RNAcentral lists this ribosomal RNA (477 nucleotides) under uncultured bacterium. RNAcentral describes it as "partial 16S ribosomal RNA". It matches the Rfam family "Bacterial small subunit ribosomal RNA", at positions 28 to 507 of the family's 1533-position model. The record is from RNAcentral.